UUUUCUCAAUACUAAGUUGGCGGGUAUGGGGCGGGGAAUUGGCGGGGAUGGGGCGGGGGUUUGGCGGGUAUGGGGUGGGGGUUUGGCGGGUAUGGGGCGGGGACGGGGAUGGGGCGGGGGUGGUUUUAGAGUUGGACCCGCCGGGGCGGGGACGGGGAUUAUUUUCAGACCCGACAUGGGGAUGGGGAUGGGGAUGGGGAUGAAAAUGUGAGGCGGGGAUGGGGAUGGGAAUGCCAAAAUCCGCCCCGCCCCGCCCCGUUGACACCCCUAAUGACGAAUCGUUGAUGGAAUAAGAAUUGAAGGACAUUGUUGUUGGGGAAGCUUGUGCAGACUUGCGAAACCAAUUAGAUAUUACUUAUCCUGUCAACAAUGGUAUUAUUCAGAACUGGGAUGAUAUGUGUCAUGUAUGGGAUUAUGCAUUUUUCAAUGAAUUGAAGGUAGAUCCUACGGAAUGUACUCGUAAAAUUUUGUUGACAGAUCCACCGCUGAAUCCAUCAAAAAACUGUGAGCAAAUGUUACUUUUUAUUUUUUUGUUUUUUGUUUUUCCUGAUCCUGUCAACAUUUCUUAGGAAAUUUGUAUAAUUAAACCAGCAGUCCAGCAUUCUUAUUUGCUCAUCAUACUUGCACAAUUUUAAUUGUUAAACGAGGGCGGUUGAUGAUUUGAUCAUAAUGUAGGUUGAGACAAUGUUUGAGAGAUACAAUUUCUCUGGUGUCUUUAUCCAAAUCCAAGCUGUCCUAACGCUUUAUGUUCAAGUUGAUUAACGCGGGUGGUGUCAUUGAAACGACCUUCUCGCCUUGGGAGUACUCCUUAGAGUUUAGCUCUUACAUAUAUGAUAACGAGUGGCGCUUUAAUCGUGAAGCCUUACUGGCUGACCUAAUAAGCAGGUAAAUUACUCUGUAUUAUUUUUCAUGGGCAUUAUCUUAAUAAGUCUCUUUGUGUUGAAACUAAACAAGGAAAUGGCAGUUGAAGAUCCAUCAGCACCACAUGGAAUAAAGCUUGUUUCUAGUUUGACAAAGACCUUUACACAAGUGAAUUAAAGGUUAAGGCAUAGACUUCUUGAGUCAUUUCUAGUUUAUUAAGUCAAGUCAAGCAGAAACAGUUAAAAGGACGUCUCCCUCAAUCUUUAUACGUAGUAUUAGGCUCCUCAUCUGCCAAAUUUGCCAAAGAAUAUUCUAUACGAGUAUUAGCUGAGAUCAAAAUUCCUAGUGUUUUCCAUCUUCGUUCACUACUCAAAAAAGCUAAUCAUAAAAUGGAAAUUGUCAAACUAUGCCUUGGACUCAAGGACAUAUAAACUAAUACUGGAAUAGUGGUAUAAAGUCGGGUAACAAUCUGUGUGCUACCUCCAAUUAGCGUCUUGUCAUAUGAAGCAUAUGAAAAAUGGGUCAUAUUUUAUCAUAUUUUGGUAUUUUUAAACUGUGAAUGGGAUGUACUUACUGGUAAACUGUGAAAAUGUACUCAAGAUCAAUAAUAUGAUAGACUCGUUUACUAAAAAAGUCCAGAAUUCCAGAUAAGUCAUUAAUUUUCUGCUUCAAUAUAAUCUAAACAUUGAUAAGAUUUUAAACUAAACAUUAUUUGAAAAUCUCUUCUUAAUUUUGUUUCAUUUCAAGAUUUGUAAAUGUUUUCUAUCUUUCUAACAUAUGUUGCCCUAUUUGUGAUACCCGCUUAAUCUCAUACUCUCCCACCCUUACAAUUUUUCAAAAUAAUUUCAGAAACUCCAUUAAAAAAAGUCAUUUUCACAUUCACCCCAUUUUCUUUGUAACUUGGCAAGUAUUGCUAUUAGCUGUAAGAAUAAUUUUAACAAAAAAGAGUAUUUGAUCAUUUUAAUAGGUACAGUAAACAUGCCUUAUAAAUAACAGCUGCUUGAAUAACAAUUUCAUAAAUACUAAGUAAGAUUUAUAACUUUUCAAAAACUAGCUACUUACUUAUAUUAUACUCUGUAUUUGACAAGGACAUAUGCUAUCCGUUAUUGUCAAAAAAAUUAAAAGGACAUUUGCUAUGUGUGUGGUAACUAGUAAGGGCCGGGGGAUUAAAAAAUCUAUUUAAUGAGAUGGGAAUUAAAGCUAGAAAUCACCUCAAAAAUAAAACCUGAAAAGAAAUGAAAACAAACAAUAUGAAGCCACUUCAUCCUCUGUUUUUCAUACAACCAACCCUUUCAUUGUUGCUCCUUGUUUAACAAUGCAACAACUUACACCAAUUUAUUCCCUCGAUAGCACUAAUUAUUGAGGGAACGAAACUGAUUAUAUGGCAUUGUUAGCCAUCAAGAGCAAGCUUAUCGACCAUAGUCCUGACGGUGUUUUGAGCUCACUGAAUCACUCUCAUCACCAUUGUUUAUGGGAGGGUGUCACUUGUGGGCCCAGAUAUAACAGGGUCGUCAAGUUAUGGCUACCCACAAAAGGUUUAGGAGGAACUAUAUCUCCCUUCAUUGGAAACAUAAGCUUCCUGAGAUUGAUUUCAUUUACAAAUAAUAGUUUGCACGGUCAAAUUCCCCCUUGAGGUUAGUUGUUUGUUUAGGCUACGAUCACUAUAUUUGCCCAACAACUCUUUUAGUGGGGAAAUUCCGGCCAACAUAUCAAGCUGCAUCAACCUACAAAAUCUUUCUUUAGAUACCAACAAUCUACAGGGGGAACUUCCAAUGGGAUUAGGAGAGUUAUCCAACCUCAAAUUGUUAUGGGUUUACUCUAAUAAACUCUCUGGUAUGAUUCCCCAAUCCAUCUCUAACCUUUCCUCUCUUCUACCUUUAGACUUGUCUAAUAAUCAACUACACGGGGAACUUUCAGUGGGAUUAGGAGAAUAUCCAACCUCAAAUGGUUAGGGGUUAACUCUAAUAAACUCUUUGGUAAGGUUCCUCCAUCUAUUUCUAACCUUUCUCCUCUCUUCUAGAAUUAUUCUUGUAUGACAACCAACUACAUGGGAGACUCCCUAUGGAAUUAGGAGCAUUGCCUUGCCUCCAAACUCUUGCUGCUUCCUUCAAUAGUUUUACUGGUAUGAUUCCCUCAUCAAUCUUCAACCUCUCCUCCCUUCAAAGUAUAGAUUUGGCGUACAACCAACUACAGGGAAGAUUGCCACAGUUUUUUGCUUCACUUCCUCAAUUAGAAAUUAUGUCACUUGCCUCUAACCAUUUGUCAGAAUCAUUACCAAUAUCCUUAUCAAACCUCACAAGUCUUCAAAUAAUUCAGUUGGAUGUAAACAACUUCACAGGUAGCAUUACCAAUUUUCAUUUUAGACACCUCCAUAACCUGCAAAACCUAAAUCUUGGUAAAAAUAGUUUUGAAGGUGACAUCUCUUUUAUUAGUACAUUGGUUAACUGUAGCAAAUUGGAUACCCCUUGGUUUGGAACAAAAUCAAUUCACAGGAUUAUUGCCAAGAGUAGUAGUCAAUCUUUCCACUACUUUAUCAUGGUUUGAUAUUAGUCAAAAUUUAUUAAGUGGAGGAUUUCCUAAAGAUUUUAGUAAUCUCAUCAAUCUUAGAUACAUAUCCAUGUCAAGAACUGGGCUCACUGGAACCAUCCCUCAAGAUCUUGGAAAGCUUCAAAAGCUAGAGAAAUUAUAUCUCUAUAACAACAAAUUGACAGGUGAAAUUCCUAUUUCAAUCGGAAAUUUAUCGCGUUUGAGCACACUGAGCUUAUCAAAUAACAACUUGCAAGGCAGAAUACCUCCAAGCCCUGGCAAUUGCACAAACCUGUUAUAUUUGUAUCUAUCGAAUAAUAAUUUCAAUGGACCAUUGCCUAAGAAUCUCUUUGCAGGAUCUGCCAAGUUUAUUGAACUAGAUUUAUCUUAUAAUAAAUUAGAAGGGCUCAUACCUGUUGAGAUCAGUAACCAAGUCAAUGCAAUAGCAUUGGGUGUGUCCGGAAUAAAUUGACAAGGGAAAUUCCAGAUAUCUUUAGCAACCUACCUGAACUUGCAAUACUGUAUAUGGGUGAUAAUAUGUUCUGUGGUUCAAUUCCUACAACAUUCGCCUCUUUGAAAAGUCUUUUAGAAGUUGAUCUUUCUAAGAACAAUCUUUCUGGCAUCAUUCCUGAAUCUUUUUUUACCUUUCCCAUGAUAUACCUCAUAAACCUAUCUUACAAUAAUUUUGAGGGAAGUGUUCCAACUACAGGAGUAUUUGCAAAUACAAGUGCAAUAAUUCUGGAUGGCAAUAGUAGGCUCUGUGGUGGAAUUUUGGAGCUGCAUCUACCAAGAUGUGUGGAGAAAAAAGGGAAGAAAAGAAGAAUGUUUCAUGCUCACAAGCUGACAUUUAUGAUAAUAGUGCUUUUGUUGGGAUAUCGCUCAUGGCCACAUGCAUAUGGCUCUACCUGAAACGUCGUAACAAAAAAGGGAAAUACUCAUUCGAUGCACUACGGAAGGAGUCAUUCUUGAAAGUGUCCUACGAAAUGCUGCUCAAAGCAACUGAUGGAUUUUCUUCGAGUAAUCUACUUGGCUCGGGUACUUUUGGGUCUGUGUUUAAAGGGAUGCUUGAUGGAAAGACGGCUGCCAUUAAAGUACUCAACUUGCAACAAAGAGGUGGGUCUAGGAGUUUCAUGGCAGAGUGUGAGGCAUUGAGGAAUAUCCGUCAUCGUAAUCUGGUUGGGAUACUAACAGCAUGCUCAAGUAUGGAUUUCCAGAGAAACGAUUUCAAAGCUCUUGUUUACGAGUUCAUGCCCAAUGGAAGUGUUGAGAGAUGGCUACACGAAGAUGGAAAUAUGAGCCUUCUAUAAAGGUUGGAUAUAGCCAUUGAUGUGGCCCAUGCAAUAAAUUAUCUUCAUUAUGAGUGUGGAAGCCAGAUUGUGCACUGCGAUCUAAAACCGAGCAACAUAUUGCUUGACGAUGACAUGGUUGCCCGUGUAGCAGAUUUUGGGUUAGCAAAGGUUCUUGAUCUUCCCGUGCAUCCAAAUCAAAGCAGUUCAAUUGGCAUUAGGGGAACUGUUGGCUAUGCUGCUCCAGAGUAUGGCUUGGGAAAUGAAACAUCUCUUGAGGCUGAUCUCUACAGCUACGGAAUUCUACUUCUUGAGCUAAUGACAAGAAAGAGAUCCAUCAACGAUAUGUUUAAUGAAGACUUCAACCUCCAUAUGUACGCAAAGGCAGCAUUACCAGAACAAGUGUUGCAGAUUGUUGACUCAACACUUUUGGAGGAAGAAAGUGAUGAAGCAGAUGAAACAAGACCGCGAACUCAAGUGAUACUUCAACACGAGAGGAGUGCAUGGUGUUUGUCAUUAAGAUUGGAGUUGCUUGCUCAAGUCAAUAUCCACAUGAUCGAAUGAAGAUAAGGGAAGCAAUAAGCGAGCUAUAUCAUGCAAGAAACAUCCUUUGCUAACCAAGAGGGGCAACUUAUUGAGCAUUACAAUGCUCAAGAUGAUUGGCCUCGCCGUACUAAAUCCAUAGCAAGCCAAAGAAGCUAGCAUCUUGCUACUCUAGAGGUGUUCUGUGCAUGAUUAUAAAAGAAAUGAUACAUUUCAGUAUGAGCACAGAUAAAAGUAGUUAAUUUCAUUUUAUUUCCUGUAGCUUAGUAGCUAUUAUAUCAUACGUGCAUCUAAGUAUUGUAAGUAACUUCUGUUCUUUCCUUAAUAGUAUAAUCAAUUCAUGUUCCGUGAUUA
This is a long non-coding RNA of Chenopodium quinoa (quinoa), 5570 nucleotides long. RefSeq lists it as uncharacterized. The transcript has 6 exons. NCBI's taxonomy places the organism in Eukaryota, Viridiplantae, Streptophyta, Magnoliopsida, Caryophyllales, Amaranthaceae. The record is from RefSeq and is a predicted model, not a curated record.